CCUGGGGCCAGCCCUGGCUCGUCUGGCUAGUUGACUCACUCCCCAAACUUUUCCUUCUUUCUAGCUUCGUUGUAAUGUAGCUGACGUACAAGUGGCGGGAACUGAAGAUGUGUGUUGGUGUUGAGCUCAUACUGUGAGAGGAUUACCACCGGAGCUCCUUCCUCUGUCCUGUCACCCCAUCACCAAUUCUUUCUUGUGGGCCUGGAGAAUGGUGUGUCUCCAUAAAUACCCUUGAGGAACAUCUGAUUCUCCUGCAGGCUACUCCUGGAUCUUCCAGGACACACACAAACCAUCUACUAAUACCUGCAGGAAGGUAAAAGAAGAUAGAAUGUCUCUGUCUAUGGGUUUCCUACAGCAGCUCUGCUCCCAGGAUUGAGGGUCAAGUCGAAAC
This 391-nucleotide long non-coding RNA is filed under the name Vulpes vulpes (red fox). RNAcentral's name for it is "lncRNA (ENSVVUG00000007222.1)". Lineage: Eukaryota; Metazoa; Chordata; Mammalia; Carnivora; Canidae. The record is from RNAcentral.